GGUUUCGCGGAUCGCAUCCGCGGUCUCGCCGAGAUCGAAGUUGAACAUACUAUGCGCGUUCGGAAUCAUCAGGUUCUCUCCCCAGAGCGGCUUUUUUGACGAAGGCCAGCCCUUGUUUGGCAGACCAUGCCACGGGCCGGUUGCGGGGAGAAGAGCCGGAAGCGCCGGAACAUGCUGACGCCUCCGUUGCGGCGAUUCUGCCCCCGGACGCCGGGAAGAAGGCCACAAAGCGAGACGCCGAAAUGUCUUGUUCCUGACAUUUCGGCGGGCAAUUUCGCAGGCGUAACCUUACGCCAGUGCGCGCGAGGCCUCUCGCACCUUGCGGGUCGAUGCAUCGACCGAACGCGUCGCUUCGGCGAUAUCGGUCAUGUUGGAAUUGAUAUCGGUUACGCCCUUUGCCGCGACCUGCAUGUUGGACGAGAUGCUCUGCGUCACCGAGGCCUGCUCCUCGACCGAAGCCGCGAUUGCCGCCGAAAUCUCGUUGAUGCGGGAGAUCGUCUGCGUGAUCG
This 509-nucleotide unclassified non-coding RNA is filed under the name Hevea brasiliensis (rubber tree). Lineage: Eukaryota; Viridiplantae; Streptophyta; Magnoliopsida; Malpighiales; Euphorbiaceae. The record is from RNAcentral.